Molecule: long non-coding RNA, 2570 nt
Filed under: Malus domestica (apple)
Lineage: Eukaryota; Viridiplantae; Streptophyta; Magnoliopsida; Rosales; Rosaceae
Description: long non-coding RNA (MDOM_LNC017625)
Source: RNAcentral
AGGUGAAAGCAUCUCAAGGACUUCCAAAACCUGCAAGACGAUUUUGACUCAAUGAAUGGACUGUGAGUGAGUCUUUUUGUUUUAAUGAGUAUUAAUACUAUAUGGCUUUCCUCGAUAACUGUUUAUGCAUAUUUGAUGUGACUUGGCAUGUUUAGCUUACAAGCAAUCAGUACAUACAUUGUACAUUAUAAUAUUUUUUGUAAGCAUAAACUUGUGGCAUGAGAUUCUUACAUUUUUAUCUGCUCAUUAUUACAUGUUUGCAUGGUGUCUCUUAGAUAUUUGUACUAUCCUGGGCCAAUGACCAGCUUCAUGUGUAGUUGACAUUGCACAGUGUCUCUUCUACACAAAACUUUAAAAUGCACACCUCUUCAAUCUAAACUUCGUGGUAAAAAACCUUCUCGAAGAGAACCCAAGAUUAAGCAUUGUAUUUGGUAAAUUGCUAGAUCUCUUUGAGCACUGGGUUAACGGUUCACAUCGCAUAUCAGGUAAUUUCAAUAUUUCUCCUUUUCGUCCUUCAGGUUCGAUUUUCCUGUGAUGUGUUAAUUUUUCAUUGGAAAUGUAAAUUCUUUGUUUUUACCUACCAAUUGAGAAUUUGAGAUACUUGAGUUUGGUGCCUUUUUCUUCAAUUCUUAAGCUUUUCUUCGCUUCUGCUAUUCGAUGGCACUAUACUUAUCUAUAUGUUUUACUUGUAAGUUGUUUGUUUCGGGCUAUAUUUAUGUCCGUUGCUUGCCACAUGCUUGUUCAAUUUUUUUGCUUCUUUCUUUUGUUGUGCGUAUAAGGCUUAGUUGCACUAGUAAAAACCUUUGAAGUCAAUGCCUUGUAUCCAAAGUAGGUGCUAGCUUGUUCCCCCUUAGGAUAGUGGUAGAAAUCCCUUAGGGUUUUGAUAGACAUGUAUGUGAUGUGGCUAGCACACUUCACGUGAUGAAGUACUAGGACAUAAAACCUACAUCUAACAUGUUCCAUUGUCAGAAUAUUUCUGUAAUGGACUUGUGUGCCUACAUACAUUAAUGUGUAAUGAUUUAUACUUUGAGACGACUGUUGUAUAUGUAACCCUACUUUUCGACUUACGAUAUCUGCCUAUACAAUAUUACGUAGUAUUAUUAUGUUUGAGAAACCAUAAACUUGUUUUACAGCGAGGGGUUAUACAUUUUCGAAAAAGUUUUACAAAAUAUGAUUUUCAAGCCCAUUACAUUUUUUUUCCGCCUCUCCAGGAUUUUAGACAUAGAGCUCAUGUUGUCGACGAUGAUUAUUGGCAACAAUUGACAUGUAGGAGGUUUCUCCUUAAGAUAUAAAUAUUCCCUACUUUUAUUGCGCUAUUAUUUGUGCUCGAACAUCACUUUUGUAAUAAGGAUUUUAUAAUACUCUAAAUUAGUUACUUUAGUGACAGAGCUCAUGUUGUUCAACCAGCUCACAUGCGUACUCUAAAUUAGUUACUUUAGGUUUAAAUUAGUUCGCAAUUUCCACAACACCAUCACUUUAUGACUUUGUCACCUUAUAGGUGUCAGUCAGCAUAGUUCGAUUCGAGUGUCCACAUGGAUAUUCCGAGUCGGAGUGUUUCAAAUUAAUAAUAUUAAGAAUGUAUCGCUGUUUUGUGUUUGGAAAAUCUACCAAAUGUUUAUUGUGUUGUGGCCAAUUUAUCUGACGAGGAGAUAGAUGGGGCACAACAAGAGAGAGAGAAUGGAGAAAAUAUGAGAUGUUAAGAGGGUGUGUUAUUCUUCAUAGGCAGUGCCUUUAUUUAUAGUAGUAAAGAGGAGAAGAAUCUUUAUUCUCCAAAAAAAAAAAAAGAAUCCUAGUACAAAAAGAAUAUCUAUUAACCAAAUAAUUUUUGGUUGAUUUGAUGAAUGUACCCAUGGUUAUAUAUAUGUAUACAAUAUGUUUCUUGUUUUUAUAUGUACAUUCUUUUUUAUGACAAAACAUGACUUUUUCUAUUAUUUAGAAUUUUUAUGUAUUGUAAUCUCUAUUCAUUAAUAAAACCCUCUUUGUCAACAAAAAAAGGGUGAAAAGAUAAUUUAGUCUUCUAUCAUACAAAAAAAAAUGAUGGGCAAUAAUGUAAUUUCACAGGUCCAAAUUUUAUUGUUUUUUAUUGAAGCCUCAACUACAUGUGAUACUAAAAUAUCUCUAAUAUUUAAAAUUUUAAAUAAAUAAAUAAAUAAAAUAAAAACCAAAAACAAAAAUCUUCCACUCCCCCCACAUUCUCUCUCUCUUUCUCUCUCCCUCUCUCCUUCUCAUUUUCUAAAAAAAAUGUGUUCAUACACACAAAGUGUGUAGGAAAAUGCUAGUAUAAAUAAACAAAAGUCUCUAUUAUUUAAAUUUUUAAGUAUUUUAAUAUUUUGCAUCCCACGAAUCAUGGGUUGUAUUUAAAAUAUCAUAAAUAUAGACAACUACAAAUUUCAAAUUUCAGUUCAAAAAUAAAAUAACUAACAUGGAAAUACGUAAUACAUUAAUAUUAAAAGGCAGGGAAAAGUGGCUUCAAAGCGUACAUUGUUGGAGUUGGAGUACCUUGAAAUUUCAUUGCAAGUGAUCGUAAGUAGGGGUGGGUUCGGUUUAAAUCGGUUCUGUUUUUUACCAAA